This 503-nucleotide ribosomal RNA is filed under the name uncultured bacterium. RNAcentral's name for it is "partial 16S ribosomal RNA". It matches the Rfam family "Bacterial small subunit ribosomal RNA", at positions 30 to 523 of the family's 1533-position model. The record is from RNAcentral.
AUUGAACGCUGGCGGCAGGCUUAACACAUGCAAGUCGAGCGGGGUGAUGGUGCUUGCACUAUCACUUAGCGGCGGACGGGUGAGUAAUGCUUAGGAAUCUGCCUAUUAGUGGGGGACAACAUCUCGAAAGGGAUGCUAAUACCGCAUACGUCCUACGGGAGAAAGCAGGGGAUCACUUGUGACCUUGCGCUAAUAGAUGAGCCUAAGUCGGAUUAGCUAGUUGAUGGGGUAAAGGCCUACCAAGGCGACGAUCCGUAGCAGGUCUGAGAGGAUGAUCCGCCACACUGGGACUGAGACACGGACCAGACUCCUACGGGAGGCAGCAGUGGGGAAUAUUGGACAAUGGGGGGAACCCUGAUCCAGCCAUGCCGCGUGUGUGAAGAAGGCCUUAUGGUUGUAAAGCACUUUAAGCGAGGAGGAGGCUCUUUUGGUUAAUACCCAAGAUGAGUGGACGUUACUCGCAGAAUAAGCACCGGCUAACUCUGUGCCAGCCGCCGCGGUAA